AACAUACUUCCUCCGUUCGGAAAUAUUUGUCAUGAAAAAUGGAUGUAUCUAUAUGUAUUUUAGUUUUAAAAACAUUUAUUUUUAUUUAUGCAACAAAUAAUUUCGGACGGAAGAAGUAUUAG
RNAcentral lists this microRNA precursor (122 nucleotides) under Hordeum vulgare. RNAcentral's name for it is "microRNA MIR1122". It matches the Rfam family "MIR1120/MIR1122 microRNA precursor family". The record is from RNAcentral. Lineage: Eukaryota; Viridiplantae; Streptophyta; Magnoliopsida; Poales; Poaceae.